CUUGCACCUUUCAAGCGAGUGGCGAACGGGUGAGUAACACGUGGAUAACCUGCCUCAAGGCUGGGGAUAACAUUUGGAAACAGAUGCUAAUACCGAAUAAAACUUAGUAUCGCAUGAUACAAAGUUGAAAGGCGCUACGGCGUCACCUAGAGAUGGGUCCGCGGUGCAUUAGUUAGUUGGUGGGGUAAAGGCCUACCAAGACAAUGAUGCAUAGCCGAGUUGAGAGACUGAUCGGCCACAUUGGGACUGAGACACGGCCCAAACUCCUACGGGAGGCUGCAGUAGGGAAUCUUCCACAAUGGGCGAAAGCCUGAUGGAGCAACGCCGCGUGUGUGAUGAAGGCUUUAGGGUCGUAAAGCACUGUUGUAUGGGAAGAAAUGCUAGAAUAGGGAAUGAUUCUAGUUCGACGGUACCAUACCAGAAAGGGACGGCUAAAUACGUGCCAGCAGCCGCGGUAAUACGUAUGUCCCGAGCGUUAUCCGGAUUUAUUGGGCGUAAAGCGAGCGCAGACGGUUGAUUAAGUCUGAUGUGAAAGCCCGGAGCUCAACUCCGGAAUGGCAUUGGAAACUGGUUAACUUGAGUGUUGUAGAGGUAAGUGGAACUCCUUGGUAAAC
RNAcentral lists this ribosomal RNA (614 nucleotides) under Leuconostoc lactis. RNAcentral describes it as "bacterial SSU rRNA". It matches the Rfam family "Bacterial small subunit ribosomal RNA", at positions 79 to 679 of the family's 1533-position model. Lineage: Bacteria; Bacillati; Bacillota; Bacilli; Lactobacillales; Lactobacillaceae. The record is from RNAcentral.